This is a long non-coding RNA of Saccostrea cuccullata (small rock oyster), 459 nucleotides long. RefSeq lists it as uncharacterized. NCBI's taxonomy places the organism in Eukaryota, Metazoa, Mollusca, Bivalvia, Ostreida, Ostreidae. The record is from RefSeq and is a predicted model, not a curated record. The transcript is spliced from 2 exons.
AUAUAAUGUUAUUGUUUGUUAUUGUUAUUUUUCAUAUGAUCAUGAAUUCCAUUUUAAAUUUGUGCAUAUUAAGGAUGUCUAUUGAUAUCCAUAUAAACGUAAUCUGUAUGAUGCCUGUGCAAGUUCUAAUGAUUAUUUCAGAUACAAUACAUACUAUUUUGAUAUGUAUAUGAACAAGGCAUCAAAGUGUAGAUAUAUUCUGAAAGGUACCUGCAUUCAGACCUACUGUAGAGUUAAGCUAAUCUUUAUUUUAUAAAACAUGUUUUGAAUAUUAUUUUAAAUGUGUAUGUUAUUGCAUGGUUAUUUAAAAGAUGUAAUGAUUUCCUUGGUUAUUCGUAUGGGAAUUAAUGUCGCCGCUGUUGCAGAAAAAAGCAUUUCCUGCAUUAGCAUGUACAUUGUAAAUAUUAAUGAAAGCAAUUCAUGAAAUAGGUUGUAAUAGUUGAGAUAAUCUAGUCUUUU